Molecule: ribosomal RNA, 253 nt
Filed under: uncultured bacterium
Lineage: Bacteria
Description: partial 16S ribosomal RNA
Rfam family: Bacterial small subunit ribosomal RNA
Source: RNAcentral
UACGAAGGGGGCGAGCGUUGUUCGGAUUUACUGGGCGUAAAGGGCGCGCAGGCGGCUUAUUUUGUCAGGCGUGAAAGCCCCGGGCUUAACCUGGGAACUGCGUUUGAUACGGAUGGGCUAGAGUUCGGGAGAGGAGAGUGGAAUUCCCAGUGUAGAGGUGAAAUUCGUAGAUAUUGGGAAGAACACCGGUGGCGAAGGCGGCUCUCUGGACCGAUACUGACGCUGAGGCGCGAAAGCGUGGGGAGCAAACAGG